AUGUCUUUCUGUGUCAGGUUUGUUUCUGUGGUGAAGCCAGCUGCGAGCAAACAAAAAGGCAACAAAGAAAUACAAAGCACCAACAUGCAGAGCGACCUGAAGAGAAAGUUACGUGUCUGUGUGCGAGACAGUGUGUGCUUAAUGGGAAAGUAUGACACAACUAAGGCAACCUUCUCCUCAAGACUCCCCAGGAACUCUUUAAGGUCACAAGUUUUAGUCUGUGUACUCUGGGGAACCACAUCUUGCUGUUUAGGCUGGGAAGACAUUGGGUCAGCUGGUGUAAUUGGCAUCUCUCUUACCACAUUCACGGACUGUAACGCUUGUAUGGAUUUCUCUUAAAUUCAUACAUGAAUUCUCAUGGGAUUCCAACCCCUGCUGGUUGUUUGCUAUGCUGCUGCACAUUCUGAGGUGAUUUUUCAUGUCAUCAGAAAGGUCUAGCGCUGGGCUGAGUUCAUAUGUACAAACGAAUGCUGAAGUGAUGGAGGAUUCCUGUCUCCUAUGCAAGCAAGAUUAAAAAAGAGGGCAGGAGAGGAAAAGACUGAAAGGCUACGUGGCAGACCAAAGAGCAAGGAGCCUUAAUUAAUUCAUGGAAGUAAUAACAUUUAUGUCAGCUGCUCCUCUUUUCUGAAGGAUGGAACCUCACUGAUUGAAAGAUACUUGGGUCAGAUACACUCUCACUACUCAGCAGCUCCAUUGCUGUAGCUCUUGUAAAACCUGAAACCACGUGACCUUCAUGCACUGCUGUUUUUCAUUAUUGGUCUCAGCACAGAGUAUAGGAAUUGUCAUAUAUUAUCAACUCAGCCAUCUAUUAAGAUCCAUAUUCUCACUAAUGGUAGCUUAAGAGGGCAGUGCCAUAAUUUGAUGCGUAUACUUUUUUCUCUGCUCUAAAUCUUAAAUUAAACUCUUGAUAGACUCAGGGUUUUUGUUUUUUUUUGGUUUUUUUGUUUUGUUUUGGUUUUUUGUUUUUGUUUUUUUUCCCCAGACAACAUUGCUUAAAGUAUCUUUGAAAACUGUUGAAAAUCAUGCCAAAUCUGGACAGCCUCACUGUCACAUCACUGACCAAACCCUGAAUCUUUAUGUUCUUGAAUGAUGGCACAACUUGUCUUCCCUGAAGGUGUUCACUGUGUAAAAAAAGGUAAGAAUAGGCUUGUUUUCCUUAUGAAACAAGCAGAGGAGAUGAUUUUCAGUCGGUCCCUCCUCAGCCGUGCACUAAAGUUGUAGCUACAAACUCAUCCUUUCUCUUUGGUGGCAGCUAUCUAACUCAUGUUUUUCUCAGUCUAAUCCAGUACAUGAUGCUCUGUGUGGAGGCUGUCUGCAAACUGUAAAUGCUCUGGAGUUGGAAUUUGUUCUGUUUACAAGUAACAAUGAAACAAACCCUUCCGUGAGCUGUGGAUUAAUAGCUGGCAUGGAUUUGGGCCAAUGUACUUGAAUACAUUCAUGAAAUUUCGCUUUAUCCUUAGUAUCUUAUCUGCAAGAGUAUUUCAAAUUUACAAUUCUUUCCCUUAUCUUUUCUGUGUUUCCCUUGCUUGUAAAUACACAUAAUACAUCCUGGUUUUGUUUGCAUGUCGAUUUUCUUUCUCAGGAGAACAGAUAAAUAAUUAAUCAUUGACUAAGGGAGCGACUGGUGUGGGAAUGAUGCCAGGUCUAACCUUGAGUCUUUUCUAUUUCCUUGUGAUGUUUUGGGGAAAGAGAAAUGAAACAAAGAAAUACGGCCACAUAAAGCGUGUCAUAAAUCCUUCCUCGAAUGAAAAGCAUUCGGGAAAUCUCCUUCCUUUCCAAGAACAUCUUUGGUUUGUCUGAUAUAGUGUUGUUGUCAGGUACACUGGAGCCGUUUUGAAAGGAGGAUGUGACAAACCAGUGUUGAUUGUGUAAUAAUUAAAUGUAGCUGUCUACAGCUGCCAGUCACAAUCAAGGCUGAAAAUCUCAGCAGCAGAAGCACAAAUUCCUGCCACCUAAACUGAAGGAAGAGCUCCCUUACCUGGGAGUGAGUAACAGCCUAUUGCAUCCUCUGCAGCCAGCCAUAAAAGGGAAAAGGGAAAUAUUCAGUGCACUGCAAUUAUGCCAUGCAUCGUAACCUCUGUGGUUAUGUGCAGAGUAAAUGUAGAUUGAUCAUUAUUAACACCCUUUUUUUUUCUUUUUUUUUUUCCUUUUUCUUCCUUUCUUUUUUCUUUUUAAAGAAUCUGCCUAAGUACCUCUCAUAAUAGAAAAUAAACUCAUUAGAAGAUGAUGGCA
Molecule: long non-coding RNA, 2232 nt
Filed under: Coturnix japonica (Japanese quail)
Lineage: Eukaryota; Metazoa; Chordata; Aves; Galliformes; Phasianidae
Description: lncRNA (ENSCJPG00005021073.1)
Source: RNAcentral